UCAGAUACCGCCCUAGUUCUGACCGUAAACGAUGCCAACUAGCGAUCUGCCAGUCGACUCAUCGCUCUGGUGGGGAGCUUCCCGGAAACGAAAGUCUUCCGGUUCCGGGGGAAGUAUGGUUGCAAAGCUGAAACUUAAAGGAAUUGACGGAAGGGCACCACCAGGAGUGGAGCCUGCGGCUUAAUUUGACUCAACACGGGGAAACUCACCCGGCCCGGACACCGUAAGGAUUGACAGAUUGAUAGCUUUUUCAUGAUUCGGUGGAUGGUGGUGCAUGGCCGUUCUUAGUUCGUGGAGCGAUUUGUCUGGUUUAUUCCGAUAACGAGCGAGACUCUGGCCUACUAAAUAGUUGACGCAUUGCCACUGUGCGCACAACUUCUUAGAGGGAUUUUCGGUGUUUUCAACCGCACGAAAUUGAGCAAUAACAGGUCUGUGAUGCCCUUAGAUGUCCGGGGCUGCACGCGCGCUACACUGGCAAACGCAACGUGCCUGUCCUGCCCCGAAAGGAGCGGGUAAACCCCUGAAAUUUUGCCGUGAUUGGGAUCGGACAUUGCAACUAUUGUCCGUGAACGAGGAAUUCCUUGUAGGGGCGAGUCAUCAACUCGUCCCGAAUACGUCCCUGCCCUUUGUA
Molecule: ribosomal RNA, 631 nt
Filed under: Rotylenchulus reniformis
Lineage: Eukaryota; Metazoa; Nematoda; Chromadorea; Rhabditida; Hoplolaimidae
Description: SSU rRNA
Rfam family: Eukaryotic small subunit ribosomal RNA
Source: RNAcentral